CCUACGGGUGGCAGCAGUGAGGAAUAUUGGUCAAUGGACGAGAGUCUGAACCAGCCAAGUAGCGUGAAUGAUGACUGCCCUAUGGGCUUUAAACUUCUUUUAUAAAGGAAUAAAACGAGGCACGUGUGCCUUUUUGCAUGUACUUUAUGAAUACGGAUCGGCUCACCCCGUGCCAGCCGCCCCGGUAAUACGGAGGGUCCGAGCGGUAUACGGAGUUAUUGGGUUUAAAGGGAGCGUAGAUGGGUUGUUAAGUCAGUUGUGAAAGUUUGCGGCUCAACCGUAACAGUGCAAUUGAUACUGGCAGUCUUGAGUACAGAUGAGGUAGGCGGAAUUCGUGGUGUAGCGGUGAAAUGCUUAGAUAUCACGAAGAACCCCGAUGGCGAAGGCAGCUUACUAAACUGUGACUGACAUUGAUGCUCGAAAGUGUGGGUAUCAAACAGGAUUAGAUACCCGAGUAGUC
This 460-nucleotide ribosomal RNA is filed under the name uncultured bacterium. Its description in RNAcentral is "partial 16S ribosomal RNA". It matches the Rfam family "Bacterial small subunit ribosomal RNA", at positions 338 to 795 of the family's 1533-position model. The record is from RNAcentral.